RNAcentral lists this ribosomal RNA (348 nucleotides) under uncultured bacterium. Its description in RNAcentral is "bacterial SSU rRNA". It matches the Rfam family "Bacterial small subunit ribosomal RNA", at positions 386 to 750 of the family's 1533-position model. The record is from RNAcentral.
AUGCAGCGACGCCGCGUGAGUGAAGCAGGUCUUCGGAUCGUAAAACUCUGUCCUUGGUGACGAAAAAAUGACGGUAGCCAAGGAGGAAGCCCCGGCUAACUACGUGCCAGCAGCCGCGGUAAUACGUAGGGGGCGAGCGUUGUCCGGAUUUACUGGGCGUAAAGGGUGAGUAGGCGGUAAUAUGUGUCAGAUGUAAAAGGCUAUGGCUUAACCAUAGUUAGCAUUUGAAACUGUAUUACUUGAGUGCAGGAGAGGUAAGUGGAAUUCCUAGUGUAGCGGUGAAAUGCGUAGAUAUUAGGAGGAACACCAGUGGCGAAGGCGACUUACUGGACUGUAACUGACGCUGAG